AGAAACACUGCGGCGUGCCUACACAUGCAAGUCCAGCGAGAAAUUGCAGAUUGGAACUUCGGUCGAAAGAAGCGAUGGACAGCGGCGGACGGGUGAGUAACGCGUAGGUAACCUACCUUGAGCUGAGGGAUAGCCUAGGGAAACCUGGAUUAAUACCACAUAAUGCGGAGGGGUCACAUGGCCUUUCAGCCAAAGAUUUAUCGGCCCAAGAUGGACCUGCGUCUGAUUAGAUAGUUGGUGAGGUAACGGCCCACCAAGUCGACGAUCAGUAGCCGAUCUGAGAGGAUAAUCGGCCACAUUGGAACUGAGACAUGGUCCAAACUCCUACGGGAGGCAGCAGUGGGGAAUAUUGCACAAUGGGCGCAAGCCUGAUGCAGCAACGCCGCGUGAGCGAAGAAGGUCUUCGGAUCGUAAAGCUCUGCCCUUGGGGAAGAAGAAAGUGACGGUACCCGAGGAGGAAGCCCCGGCUAACUACGUGCCAGCAGCCGCGGUAAU
RNAcentral lists this ribosomal RNA (495 nucleotides) under uncultured bacterium. Its description in RNAcentral is "bacterial SSU rRNA". It matches the Rfam family "Bacterial small subunit ribosomal RNA", at positions 39 to 524 of the family's 1533-position model. The record is from RNAcentral.